GACGAACGCUGGCGGCGUGCUUAACACAUGCAAGUCGAACGGAAAGGCCCUGCUUUUGUGGGGUGCUCGAGUGGCGAACGGGUGAGUAACACGUGAGUAACCUGCCCUUGACUUUGGGAUAACUUCAGGGAACUGGGGCUAAUACCGGAUAGGAGCUCCUGCUGCAUGGUGGGGGUUGGAAAGUUUCGGCGGUUGGGGAUGGACUCGCGGUUUAUCAGCUUGUUGGUGGGGUAGUGGCUUACCAAGGCUUUGACGGGUAGCCGGCCUGAGAGGGUGACCGGCCACAUUGGGACUGAGAUACGGCCCAGACUCCUACGGGAGGCAGCAGUGGGGAAUAUUGCACAGUGGGCGGAAGCCUGAUGCAGCAACGCCGCGUGCGGGAUGACGGCCUUCGGGUUGUAAACCGCUUUCGCCUGUGACGAAGCGUGAGUGACGGUAAUGGGUAAAGAAGCACCGGCUAACUACGUG
RNAcentral lists this ribosomal RNA (468 nucleotides) under uncultured bacterium. RNAcentral describes it as "partial 16S ribosomal RNA". It matches the Rfam family "Bacterial small subunit ribosomal RNA", at positions 28 to 507 of the family's 1533-position model. The record is from RNAcentral.